AGGGUUUGAUCAUGGCUCAGGACGAACGCUGGCGGUGCGCCUUAUGCAUGCAAGUUGAGCGAAGCUUUUUGGUAGUUUACUACUAGAAAUGACUGAGCGGCGAACGGGUGAGUAACGCGUGAGCAAUCUACCUUAGUUACUGGGAUAGCCCGAGGAAACUCGGAUUAAUACCGGAUAUUCUUAUUUUUUCACAUGAAGUUUUAAGGAAAGGUCAGCCGAACUAAGAUGAGCUCGCGUUCUAUCAGCUAGUUGGUGGGGUAAAAGCCUACCAAGGCUACGACGGAUAGCUGGUCUGAGAGGACGAUCAGCCACACUGGGACUGAGACACGGCCCAGACUCCUACGGGAGGCUGCAGCAGGGAAUAUUGUGCAAUGAGCGAAAGCUUGACACAGCGACACCGCGUGUGGGAUGACGGUUCUAGGAUUGUAAACCACUUUCAGGAGGGAAGAAAAUGACGGUACCUCCACAAGAAGACCCGGCCAACUAUGUGCCAGCC
This 496-nucleotide ribosomal RNA is filed under the name uncultured Actinomycetes bacterium. Its description in RNAcentral is "bacterial SSU rRNA". It matches the Rfam family "Bacterial small subunit ribosomal RNA", at positions 8 to 513 of the family's 1533-position model. Lineage: Bacteria; Bacillati; Actinomycetota; Actinomycetes. The record is from RNAcentral.